GUGAUUGUAGUUUAAGUUUAAAAUUUUUGCUUUGCGUGCAGAAGAUCUAGAGGGGUCUAGUGAUCACA
RNAcentral lists this transfer RNA (68 nucleotides) under Holothuria hilla. Its description in RNAcentral is "tRNA-Ala". It matches the Rfam family "tRNA". Rfam says of the family: Transfer RNA (tRNA) molecules are approximately 80 nucleotides in length. Their secondary structure includes four short double-helical elements and three loops (D, anti-codon, and T loops). Further hydrogen bonds mediate the characteristic L-shaped molecular structure. tRNAs have two regions of fundamental functional importance: the anti-codon, which is responsible for specific mRNA codon recognition, and the 3' end, to which the tRNAs corresponding amino acid is attached (by aminoacyl-tRNA synthetases). tRNAs cope with the degeneracy of the genetic code in two manners: having more than one tRNA (with a specific anti-codon) for a particular amino acid; and 'wobble' base-pairing, i.e. permitting non-standard base-pairing at the 3rd anti-codon position. Lineage: Eukaryota; Metazoa; Echinodermata; Holothuroidea; Aspidochirotida; Holothuriidae. The record is from RNAcentral.